This 272-nucleotide ribosomal RNA is filed under the name Escherichia coli. Its description in RNAcentral is "partial 16S ribosomal RNA". It matches the Rfam family "Bacterial small subunit ribosomal RNA", at positions 1 to 269 of the family's 1533-position model. Lineage: Bacteria; Pseudomonadati; Pseudomonadota; Gammaproteobacteria; Enterobacterales; Enterobacteriaceae. The record is from RNAcentral.
AAAUUGAAGAGUUUGAUCAUGGCUCAGAUUGAACGCUGGCGGCAGGCCUAACACAUGCAAGUCGAACGGUAACAGGAAACAGCUUGCUGUUUCGCUGACGAGUGGCGGACGGGUGAGUAAUGUCUGGGAAACUGCCUGAUGGAGGGGGAUAACUACUGGAAACGGUAGCUAAUACCGCAUAACGUCGCAAGACCAAAGAGGGGGACCUUCAGGCCUCUUGCCAUCGGAUGUGCCCAGAUGGGAUUAGCUAGUAGGUGGGGUAACGGCUCACC